GCUGUUUAUUUUAUUUAUUAUUAAUUUAAUUAAUCAUAUGCAUAUGUUAAAUUUCACAUCUAAAUGUGUUAAAUUUGUUCAUUUAAUUUUUCAAAACAUUUUUUUUUUUUUUCAGUUAAAAUAUGCAAACGUCCUUAAAACAAGACAAAAACCUUGCUGGGCUGCGCUCCCAUCAGGACUGCUGAGCCAGCUCCCCGCGGAGGCGUUUCUGAGUCCUCGCUCGGGUCUGAGAGGAGAAACCGUAGCUAAAGCAAACAAAGUCGCCACCCAGAGCCCCCCCAACACCGCCCGUGACUCACUACACUGACACCACAUCACUGCAGACCACAAGAAUGGGUGGAGAUUAAGAAUCUGAAAUUUUUACAUAUGCUGAAGAAAACGUGUGGCGUUUGCUUGAACAAAACUCUCCGCCAUUAUGCCAGCAUUGUAAUCCAUGUCUGGAGCACAUAUUGAACGUUAAUACUCAGUAUUAGAAGUGUAGUUUAUCAUGUUGAAGUAAACCCAACUAAGAGCACACUAGUAAGACACCACUAAAAAACCUUGUCGUAAGGUUUACAACAUUUCCAUUCUCUCACACUUCAGAAGCAUCACUUUAACAGUGGAAAUGGUUUUAGGGUUUUUCAGACUCAUGAUGGAGAGGCUUUAUGUGCGUAGCCUCUCUGUUACCUCCCACAUCAAAUCUGGUCCUGAUUUCGACCCAGUUGCCCAACGUUUACGUGGGGGGGAGAAACGAGGGCGGUGCGGGUGGUGCUGGGGGGGGUCGUCCAGCAUAAAGGCCUCUUUAUUCACGCUGGACAGGGAAAGGAAAUCGGCUUCAGAAGAAAAAACACGCCAGCGCGCCACAGGCCCGCACAUCUGGAGUUAUUACAAGCCUGCCGUCUUGCCAAGAAACUCCGACAUUCCUGCAGCGCUACAAAGCCGUGCAACUCACUCGCUCCCACACACACAAAAAAGUGCAGCAAGCGAUCCACCCCAACCCCCUCCCCAAAAUGACACAACACAUGCGGCAAAUUAAUGCGCUUCACUUCCUGUUGACCUUUGACCAUCAACUUCCUGCUGCCACCCCAAAAAGCAGGAAAAAAAUAACAGAAAGCCAGACGGAGGCGGGAAGAGGAAGAAAGUCCCGCCUCUUUCUCCUCUCUCUUGCUCCUUCACUCUCUCUCACUAGUAAAGUUAGUUAACAGUCCUCUGCCACGUCAAGCCUGCGAGUCACUGCAUCGCCAUCCGGAACGCUCACGGAAAACGCCGGAUGGAUGUUAGUGGAUGCAGAUUUACAGGUUUAUGAUUUGUUCGGGAACUCGGGAACCAAAAAUGAUGAAGAUGAAGAAGCUGUCCUGUCAAAAGAGCCAUUCGAAGUCUCACUGAGGUCCUGUAGAUUCAAACUGAGAAAUACUGGGAAAAUCAAUUGGGAAAAAUGACACUCGACAAACAGGAGGACAAACACCUUUGCACAGGAUGAAGAGGAGGAUGAGCGUGCAGCAGAGUUUUAGGGAAUUUCUGAGUGAAACAUGAAACCGCAGGGAACGCAUCAUCAUCUCUCCACGGGAAACGGGAAGCUUCCAAUCAGAACGCAUCAUCAUCAUCUGUGUGUCUCACCUCCAUAUUUUGCCUGUUUCAGACUCCAUCAUGGACUGAUCUACGGACGUCACCUAGCGAGCGCUAGACGUUUUGCGUGCUCGUGCGAGCGGAAAUGAGACAGCGCGUUAGUUUUUAGACGCCCGUCCCGCCUGCCCAGUGUUCAGACUACCUGUUCAGGAAGUAGCGUUUGUACAGUAGUCUGCACAUUGGUUAGGCUGGACGGGGAUGCUCAAGACUGACCGUGACGACUGGAGAACUCAUCGCCGUGCGGAACACGCUGCUGAUGUGAACUGACUUCAUCUGUUCAGCAUGCAUUGAUGUCAAUGAUAUAAUCGAUGAAUAAAGUAUAAAAUGAUACAAA
Ctenopharyngodon idella (grass carp) is the source of this 1939-nucleotide long non-coding RNA. RefSeq lists it as uncharacterized. The record is from RefSeq and is a predicted model, not a curated record. Lineage: Eukaryota; Metazoa; Chordata; Actinopteri; Cypriniformes; Xenocyprididae. The transcript is spliced from 2 exons.